Molecule: ribosomal RNA, 495 nt
Filed under: uncultured bacterium
Lineage: Bacteria
Description: partial 16S ribosomal RNA
Rfam family: Bacterial small subunit ribosomal RNA
Source: RNAcentral
UGACCGCUGGCGGCGUGCCUAAUACAUGCAAGUCGAGCGAACAGACGCGGAGCUUGCUCCUCUGACGUUAGCGGCGGACGGGUGAGUAACACGUGGAUAACCUACCUAUAAGACUGGGAUAACUUCGGGAAACCGGAGCUAAUACCGGAUAAUAUAUUGAACCGCAUGGUUCAAUAGUGAAAGACGGUUUUGCUGUCACUUAUAGAUGGAUCCGCGCCGCAUUAGCUAGUUGGUAAGGUAACGGCUUACCAAGGCGACGAUGCGUAGCCGACCUGAGAGGGUGAUCGGCCACACUGGAACUGAGACACGGUCCAGACUCCUACGGGAGGCAGCAGUAGGGAAUCUUCCGCAAUGGGCGAAAGCCUGACGGAGCAACGCCGCGUGAGUGAUGAAGGUCUUCGGAUCGUAAAACUCUGUUAUUAGGGAAGAACAAAUGUGUAAGUAACUAUGCACGUCUUGACGGUACCUAAUCAGAAAGCCACGGCUAACUACGUG